CUAUAACUAGAGGAACUAGAGGUGAUGGAGCUCCGGACCUCUAGGGCUAUAACUAGAGGAACUAGAGGUGAUGGAGCUCCGGACCUCUAGGGCUAUAACUAGAGGAACUAGAGGUGAUGGAGCUCCGGACCUCUAGGGCUAUAACUAGAGGAACUAGAGGUGAUGGAGCUCCGGACCUCUAGGGCUAUAACUAGAGGAACUAGAGGUGAUGGAGCUCCGGACCUCUAGGGCUAUAACUAGAGGAACUAGAGGUGAUGGAGCUCCGGACCUCUAGGGCUAUAACUAGAGGAACUAGAGGUGAUGGAGCUCCGGACCUCUAGGGCUAUAACUAGAGGAACUAGAGGUGAUGGAGCU
Molecule: long non-coding RNA, 354 nt
Organism: Coregonus clupeaformis (lake whitefish)
Lineage: Eukaryota; Metazoa; Chordata; Actinopteri; Salmoniformes; Salmonidae
Exons: 3
Source: RefSeq, a predicted model, not a curated record